Apodemus sylvaticus (European woodmouse) is the source of this 1934-nucleotide long non-coding RNA. RefSeq lists it as uncharacterized. The record is from RefSeq and is a predicted model, not a curated record. The transcript is spliced from 3 exons. Lineage: Eukaryota; Metazoa; Chordata; Mammalia; Rodentia; Muridae.
AGGGCUACACAGAGAAACCCUGUCUCAAAAACCAAACCAAACAAAAACAACAAAUAUGUUAAAAUAUUUUAAUUGUAUGUAUAUGAAUGUUCUGCCUACAUAUAUGCAUGUGUGCCGUGUGCAUGCAGUACCUUCAGAGACCAGAAGAUGAUAUUGAAUUCCUUGGAACUCACAGAUAGUUGUGAGCCGUAGUGCGGUGCUGGGAAAUGAAUCCAGGUCCACUGUAAGAGGAGACAAGUCCUCCCAGCAAGCCCUCAGACCAUGUCCAAAGAAGAGUUAAAAAGCAAGGGCACACAUGGAGCAGGCACAAUGGUAGAGGGCACCGGAAGUUGGAGAGAGAUGGCGUGGCCAAUACACAACACAUAAGUGUAUGAGAUUUGUAAAAACUGAAACCUUUUUUAAAAUGAGGCACUGUGAGAAUGAGAAAUCCUGGUGAUUCUGAAGUUCCUUUUCAGAAUGAAAGUAAGACUCAAAGGCUCACAGUGUUCCCACGGUGGCAGAAUGAUGGAGAUGCUGGUGAGAUGGCCGUUGCCAGGGCGUCAGGACAGGCUUCCUGUGUCUACAAUUACUUAAAAAUAGAAAGCUAAGAAAAAUAAAGUAAAACUAGGUCUGGUGGUACAGGUGCUGAGGUAGGAGAUUCACAAAUUCAAGGACCACUUGAGCAACAAAAUUUGGGCUCCAGACCAGACAUUCAAAUUACAACAGACUUAGAUGGAGGACUUUCUUGGACUUGAAUCCAUCUCGGUUUCCGGAGGGAAGUCUUCUGGUUUCCCACGAUGCUGAUACUGCUCACUGUCUUGUCACAGGAGGAAAUUGGACUACAGGUCAUGGAUGUUUCAGGGUAGCUAAAGGCUUCUGGAGAAGUCCAGGCAGGACUCUUGUAUAUCAUUCUUUUUCCUUCCAAUGAGAUAAAUGACCCCCCCUUUGGGGGGGUGGGGGGACGGGUUUCGAGACAGGGUUUCUCAGUGUAGCCCUGGCUGCCCUGGAACUCACUCUGUAGACCAGGCUGGCCUCGAACUCAGAAAUCCGCCUGCCUCUGCCUCCCAAGUGCUGGGAUUAAAGGUGUGUGCCACCACCGCCCGGCAAAUGAUCUCCACUUAAGGUAACCUGACUGUCACAUCCUCACCAGGGAAACAGUGGAUGCAGGAAAAGGAGAGAGUUCAGGGCGGGCACCCCAUACCCGGUUGUGAACCCCAGGCUCCUGGACCAGGACUGUGAUACAUGAACGAUGUCUGUGCCCCUCCCCAGGGCUUACAAGAUCAUAAUGCUUCACAACAUACACCACAGAGCUCAGCGUGUGGCAAACAGACCUGGGGUUGGAUUCCACAUCUCCAUCUGCCAGCCGUGACAUCCCUGCCUCUGGUCUAAGGGCAGUGAUGAUGUCGGUGUGAUCACUUUUAAGGGCAUGUUGUGUGGUCACCCUUUCCAAAUCACAAGCGCAAGAAAUGCUUCCCGUGUGCCUGUGGCACAAAUUGUACGGGCGCUCUGCAAAAGGCAGCUGAUGUUGCUACAGAUACUCUUCGCUUGCUCCACAGUGGCCUGUGACUUCCUGGUGAGAGACCCCCAACUCAAGGUUUUUAGACCUCUAAACAACUAGCCUAACACAGAGUAACUUGUUUUCUGCUUUCAGCUUGAGAAAGAUAGCCCACCUGGUUCUAGUUCCAAUGUUUAACUAUACAAUGCCCCAAGGACGUUUGCUCCAGAUAAUCUCUAGCCUUCCUUCCUCUUUCUGUACUUCCCCAUUCCGUGCAUGUUUUGUCCUCCACCCCUUGCCUUGUGAAUUGUGGCCUCCAACCCUUGUCUUGGGAUUUUUCCCCUUUAAAUACCCCUGACUUCAGUUGCACGGGGUCCUCAGUCCUCUACCCCUGCGUGGGGUAUGGCUGUGGAACCCAGAAUUCUGGAAAUAAAGAAAUUCUCAUGCUAUUGCAUCGAGA